CGCUAGGCGGCGCUAUACGAUCUUUGGUCUGCGCAAAAUUUGAAAUGGGAAAACAGGACACGACAAGUUUGGGAUCACUCCUUGGAGGAAGUCAUUAAGAGAAGAUGAUGGAGCCCAGAACCUGACUCUGACAAGUUUGGCCUCACAGAACAUGAUGAAGAUGACUCUGAUGUUAGCCGUAGCACAGACAGUGAAGAUUUGGGAAGGCCUCAUUGCCAGGUGAAUCUGCUGCCAUGGCCGCCUACAUGAACAUUUAGGCUGGCUAGCGUCAUGGUGCGAGUGGACUGAGCGAUGAAAUCUCCAAAGUGAAGAGGCAGGUUACGUCAUAAAGAGCACAGAGAUGAUUCAUGAGGAUGCCAAGGAAAGGAAGUAAC
Acanthaster planci (crown-of-thorns starfish) is the source of this 374-nucleotide long non-coding RNA. RefSeq lists it as uncharacterized. Lineage: Eukaryota; Metazoa; Echinodermata; Asteroidea; Valvatida; Acanthasteridae. The record is from RefSeq and is a predicted model, not a curated record.